This 275-nucleotide ribosomal RNA is filed under the name uncultured bacterium. RNAcentral describes it as "partial 16S ribosomal RNA". It matches the Rfam family "Bacterial small subunit ribosomal RNA", at positions 338 to 630 of the family's 1533-position model. The record is from RNAcentral.
CCUACGGGUGGCUGCAGUCGGGAAUUUUGGGCAAUGGGCGAAAGCCUGACCCAGCAACGCCGCGUGAAGGAUGAAGUUUUUCGGAAUGUAAACUUCGUAAGAAUGGGAAGAAUCAAUGACGGUACCAUUUGUAAGGUCCGGCUAACUACGUGCCAGCAGCCGCGGUAAUACGUAGGGACCAAGCGUUGUUCGGAUUUACUGGGCGUAAAGGGAGCGUAGGCGGCGCGUCAAGUCAGUUGUGAAAUCUUAAGGCUUAACCUUAAGCGGUCAACUGA